This 443-nucleotide ribosomal RNA is filed under the name Synhoria maxillosa. RNAcentral describes it as "partial large subunit ribosomal RNA". It matches the Rfam family "Bacterial large subunit ribosomal RNA", at positions 1929 to 2585 of the family's 2925-position model. Lineage: Eukaryota; Metazoa; Arthropoda; Insecta; Coleoptera; Meloidae. The record is from RNAcentral.
AGCUGCAGUAUCUUGACUGUACAAAGGUAGCAUAAUCAUUAGUUUUUUAAUUGAAAGCUGGAAUGAAUGGUCGAAUAAGGAAAUAACUGUCUCUUUUUAAUUAAGUUGAAUUUUAUUUUUAAGUCAAAAAGCUUAAAUUUUUUAAAAAGACGAGAAGACCCUAUAGAGUUUAAUAGAUUUUAAAAUUGAAUAUUUAUAGAUUUAAUUAUAUUAAAUUUUAAGUUUAUUUUGUUGGGGUGACAUUAGAAUUGAAUAAACUUCUUAUUUUUAAGUCAUUAAUAAAUGAAUAGAUGAUCCUAAUUUAUGGAUUAAAAGAAUAAAUUACCUUAGGGAUAACAGCGUAAUUUUCUUGGAGAGUUCUAAUCGAUAAGAGAGAUUGCGACCUCGAUGUUGGAUUAAAGUUUAAAAUUGGUGUAGAAGCUAAUAAUUUAAGACUGUUCGAC